This 253-nucleotide ribosomal RNA is filed under the name uncultured bacterium. RNAcentral's name for it is "partial 16S ribosomal RNA". It matches the Rfam family "Bacterial small subunit ribosomal RNA", at positions 524 to 776 of the family's 1533-position model. The record is from RNAcentral.
GACAGAGGGGGCGAGCGUUGUCCGGAGUCACUGGGCGUAAAGCGCGCGCAGGCGGCAACCUAAGUGUCGUGUGAAAGCCCCCGGCUCAACCGGGGGAGGCCAUGGCAAACUGGGUCGCUCGAGCUGCGGAGAGGCCCCUCGAAGUGCCGGUGUAGCGGUGAAAUGCGUAGAGAUCGGCAGGAAGACCAAGGGGGGAGCCAGGGGGCUGGCCGCAGGCUGGCGCUGAGGCGCGACAGCGUGGGGAGCAAACCGG